CUGGCUCAGAACGAACGCUGGCGGCAGGUCUUAGGCAUGCAAGUCGAACGGAUGACAAGAGAGCUUGCUCUCUUGAAGUCAGUGGCGCACGAGUGAGUAACGCGUGGGAAACUGCCCUUCACUGGGGAAUAACGUUUGGAAACGAACGCUAAUACCGCAUACGCCCGCAAGGGGAAAGAUUUAUCGGUGAUGGAUGUGCCCGCGUUGGAUUAGCUAGUUGGUGGGGUAAUGGCCUACCAAGGCGAUGAUCCAUAGCUGGUCUGAGAGGACGAUCAGCCACGCUGGAACUGAGACACGGUCCAGACUCCUACGGGAGGCAGCGGCUAAGAAUAUUGGGCAAUGGAGGAAACUCUGACCCAGCCAUUGCCGCGUGAAUGAAGAAGGCCUUCGGGUUGUAAAGUUCUUCUAGUCAUGAAGAUGAUGACAGUAGUGACAGAAAAAGCACCGGCUAACUUCGUGCCAGCCGCUGC
RNAcentral lists this ribosomal RNA (470 nucleotides) under uncultured bacterium. RNAcentral describes it as "bacterial SSU rRNA". It matches the Rfam family "Bacterial small subunit ribosomal RNA", at positions 19 to 518 of the family's 1533-position model. The record is from RNAcentral.